This is a long non-coding RNA of Alexandromys fortis (reed vole), 1580 nucleotides long. RefSeq lists it as uncharacterized. NCBI's taxonomy places the organism in Eukaryota, Metazoa, Chordata, Mammalia, Rodentia, Cricetidae. The record is from RefSeq and is a predicted model, not a curated record. The transcript is spliced from 3 exons.
GCUUUUUGAUAGGGUAGGAUUUAGAUAGGUGGAGUAGACAGAAUGGAAUGCUGGGAGAAAGAAAGCAUAGUGAGUCAGACGCCAUGAUUCUUCGACCUGAGAUGGAUGUAGGCUAGAAUCUUUCCUGAAUGUCUUGCAGACUCUUUCAUGAAACAGGAACCCUGAAGGAUUGUCUCACCUUUAGGGUGGCAUUGGCUUUUUCUCAGCUUGCUGGGAAGAGCCGGGCUCCGAAAUACAAGGCAGUACGUAGUCUGGGCCUGCCUGGUGGCUGGAGCGGUGGCAUUGGAAGGUUUGCUCAUGGGAUGGUUCAGGCACUGCUCAGAUUCUCCUGUCCUUCAUCUCGGGGUACCUUCCCCCCUCUUGUCUUAAUUGGCUAAUAAUGCCUGGAAGUGUACCCUUUUACACAGUCUUGUUCCGUGAUUAACACGAGCCUUUCCCUUAAACAUAGGAGAGAUAAUGACUCACCAAUUAAAAGUAGAAACUAUUUAUGCAGAGGACCUAAGUCGGUUCCCAGAACCCACAUCCAGUGACUCACAACUGCCUAUAACUCCAGCUUCAGAGAAUCUAACACUCCCUUGUAUCCUUGGCUCUUGGGGGGGGGGCUGUUGCCACCCAGCUCCCAAAUAAAUCACACGGAGGCUUCUAUGAAUGCCUGUCCUUAGCUUGGCUUGUUUCUAACCAGCUUUUCUUAACUGAUAUUGUCCUGUCUAUCUUUCGCCUCUGGACUUUUUUUUUUUUUUUUUAUGUAUACAGUGUUCCGCCUGCAGGCCAGAAGAGGGCAUCAGAUCCCAUUAUUGAUGGUUGUGAGCCACCAUGUGGUUGCUGGAAGUAGAACUCAGGAUCUCUGGAAGAGCAGUCAGUGCUCUUAACCUCUGAGCCAUCUCUCCAGUCAACCUCUGGGCUUUUACUUUUCUCUAUUUCUGUGUACCUUUCUUUUCCUUCUAAAUCUGUGUUUGGCUGUGUAUCUGGGUGGUAGCCUUCUUUUCUUGCUCCUUGAUCUUGCUUCUUCUUCUCUUCCCAGAUUUUUCCUUCUAUUCAUUCUCUCUGCCUGCCAGCCCUGCCUAUCCUUUCUCCUGCCUUGCUAUUGGUCGUUCAGCUCUUUAUCAGACCAAUCAGGUGUUUUAGACAGGUAAAGUAACACAGUAUCACAGAGUUGAACAAAUGCAACAUAAAUGAAUGCGACACACCUUACAUUAUUAAAACAAAUAUUUCACAGCAUAAAUGAAUGUAACACAUCUUAAAAUAAGGUACUACGACAUUCUCGUCUGGCCUCAGUGGGUACUGCACUCAUUUACACAAACCCGUAUACAAACACACAUUUAUACAUGCAAUUAAAAGUAGCAAUAAAGUAUUUUUUAGAUGUUGACCCUCUAAUGAAAAACACAAAGUGAAAUGCCAGGAGAUGUUGUUGCUCAUGUUGUAUGUUGACCAAGAUAAAAACAAAACAAAAUUAAAAAAAAAAUCAAGUAUAAACCCAGCAAACAAAUAAUAGAAAAAUAGGAUGGGAGGUGGUAGAGGGAGAUGAAUUGACGGCAGCAGCAGGAACUUCAGUUGUGAGCGUCUUUGGAUUCAGUCAGUGU